Molecule: ribosomal RNA, 1396 nt
Filed under: Moraxellaceae bacterium 14b-m12-2
Lineage: Bacteria; Pseudomonadati; Pseudomonadota; Gammaproteobacteria; Moraxellales; Moraxellaceae
Description: 16S ribosomal RNA
Rfam family: Bacterial small subunit ribosomal RNA
Source: RNAcentral
AGUCGAACGAUGACUCUCUAGCUUGCUAGAGAAGAUUAGUGGCGGACGGGUGAGUAACAUUUAGGAAUCUGCCUAGUAGUGGGGGAUAGCUCGGGGAAACUCGAAUUAAUACCGCAUACGACCUACGGGUGAAAGGGGGCGCAAGCUCUUGCUAUUAGAUGAGCCUAAAUCAGAUUAGCUAGUUGGUGGGGUAAAGGCCCACCAAGGCGACGAUCUGUAACUGGUCUGAGAGGAUGAUCAGUCACACCGGAACUGAGACACGGUCCGGACUCCUACGGGAGGCAGCAGUGGGGAAUAUUGGACAAUGGGGGCAACCCUGAUCCAGCCAUGCCGCGUGUGUGAAGAAGGCCUUUUGGUUGUAAAGCACUUUAAGCAGGGAGGAGAGGCUAAUGGUUAAUACCCAUUAGAUUAGACGUUACCUGCAGAAUAAGCACCGGCUAACUCUGUGCCAGCAGCCGCGGUAAUACAGAGGGUGCGAGCGUUAAUCGGAAUUACUGGGCGUAAAGCGAGUGUAGGUGGCUCAUUAAGUCACAUGUGAAAUCCCCGGGCUUAACCUGGGAACUGCAUGUGAUACUGGUGGUGCUAGAAUAUGUGAGAGGGAAGUAGAAUUCCAGGUGUAGCGGUGAAAUGCGUAGAGAUCUGGAGGAAUACCGAUGGCGAAGGCAGCUUCCUGGCAUAAUAUUGACACUGAGAUUCGAAAGCGUGGGUAGCAAACAGGAUUGUAGCAAACAGGAUUAGAUACCCUGGUAGUCCACGCCGUAAACGAUGUCUACUAGCCGUUGGGGUCCUUGAGACUUUAGUGGCGCAGUUAACGCGAUAAGUAGACCGCCUGGGGAGUACGGCCGCAAGGUUAAAACUCAAAUGAAUUGACGGGGGCCCGCACAAGCGGUGGAGCAUGUGGUUUAAUUCGAUGCAACGCGAAGAACCUUACCUGGUCUUGACAUAGUGAGAAUCCUGCAGAGAUGCGGGAGUGCCUUAGGGAAUUCACAUACAGGUGCUGCAUGGCUGUCGUCAGCUCGUGUCGUGAGAUGUUGGGUUAAGUCCCGCAACGAGCGCAACCCUUUUCCUUAUUUGCCAGCGGGUUAAGCCGGGAACUUUAAGGAUACUGCCAGUGACAAACUGGAGGAAGGCGGGGACGACGUCAAGUCAUCAUGGCCCUUACGACCAGGGCUACACACGUGCUACAAUGGUAGGUACAGAGGGUUGCUACACAGCGAUGUGAUGCUAAUCUCAAAAAGCCUAUCGUAGUCCGGAUUGGAGUCUGCAACUCGACUCCAUGAAGUCGGAAUCGCUAGUAAUCGCAGAUCAGAAUGCUGCGGUGAAUACGUUCCCGGGCCUUGUACACACCGCCCGUCACACCAUGGGAGUCUAUUGCACCAGAAGUAGGUAGCCUAAC